RNAcentral lists this ribosomal RNA (468 nucleotides) under uncultured bacterium. Its description in RNAcentral is "partial 16S ribosomal RNA". It matches the Rfam family "Bacterial small subunit ribosomal RNA", at positions 28 to 507 of the family's 1533-position model. The record is from RNAcentral.
GACGAACGCUGGCGGCGUGCUUAACACAUGCAAGUCGAACGGAAAGGCCCUGCUUUUGUGGGGUGCUCGAGUGGCGAACGGGUGAGUAACACGUGAGUAACCUGCCCUUGACUUUGGGAUAACUUCAGGAAACUGGGGCUAAUACCGGAUAGGAGCUCCUGCUGCAUGGUGGGGGUUGGAAAGUUUCGGCGGUUGGGGAUGGACUCGCGGCUUAUCAGCUUGUUGGUGGGGUAGUGGCUUACCAAGGCUUUGACGGGUAGCCGGCCUGAGAGGGUGACCGGCCACAUUAGGACGGAGAUACGGCCCAGACUCCUACGGGAGGCAGAAGUGGGGAAUAGUGCACAAUGGGCGGAAGCCUGAUGCAGCAACGCCGCGUGCGGGAUAACGGCCUUCGGGUUGUAAACCGCUUUCGCCUGUGACGAAGCGUGAGUGACGGUAAUGGGUAAAGAAGCACCGGCUAACUACGUG